GACGAACCGUGCGAACGUUGUUCGGAUUCACUGGGCUUAAAGGGCGCGUAGGCGGGCGGUCAAGUCGGGGGUGAAAUCUUUCAGCUCAACUGGAAAAGUGCCUCCGAUACUGAUCGUCUUGAGGGAGGUAGGGGCAUGUGGAACUUCCGGUGGAGCGGUGAAAUGCGUAGAUAUCGGAAGGAACGCCGGUGGCGAAAGCGACGUGCUGGACCUUUUCUGACGCUGAGGCGCGAAAGCUAGGGGAGCAAACGGG
Molecule: ribosomal RNA, 253 nt
Filed under: uncultured bacterium
Lineage: Bacteria
Description: partial 16S ribosomal RNA
Rfam family: Bacterial small subunit ribosomal RNA
Source: RNAcentral